Molecule: ribosomal RNA, 467 nt
Filed under: uncultured bacterium
Lineage: Bacteria
Description: partial 16S ribosomal RNA
Rfam family: Bacterial small subunit ribosomal RNA
Source: RNAcentral
GAUGAACGCUGGCGGCGUGCUUAACACAUGCAAGUCGAACGGAAAGGCCUCUGCUUGCAGGGGUACUCGAGUGGCGAACGGGUGAGUAACACGUGGGUGAUCUGCCCUGCACUUCGGGAUAAGCCUGGGAAACUGGGUCUAAUACCGGAUAGGACAAUGGUUUGGAUGCUGUUGUGGAAAGUUUUUCGGUGUGGGAUGAGCUCGCGGCCUAUCAGCUUGUUGGUGGGGUAAUGGCCUACCAAGGCGUCGACGGGUAGCCGGCCUGAGAGGGUGUACGGCCACAUUGGGACUGAGAUACGGCCCAGACUCCUACGGGAGGCAGCAGUGGGGAAUAUUGCACAAUGGGCGCAAGCCUGAUGCAGCGACGCCGCGUGGGGGAUGGCGGCCUUCGGGUUGUAAACUCCUUUCGCUAGGGACGAAGCGUUUUUGUGACGGUACCUGGAGAAGAAGCACCGGCUAACUACGUG